This 458-nucleotide ribosomal RNA is filed under the name Rothia mucilaginosa. Its description in RNAcentral is "bacterial SSU rRNA". It matches the Rfam family "Bacterial small subunit ribosomal RNA", at positions 28 to 494 of the family's 1533-position model. Lineage: Bacteria; Bacillati; Actinomycetota; Actinomycetes; Micrococcales; Micrococcaceae. The record is from RNAcentral.
GACGAACGCUGGCGGCGUGCUUAACACAUGCAAGUCGAACGAUGAAGCCUAGCCUGCUAGGUGGAUUAGUGGCGAACGGGUGAGUAAUACGUGAGUAACCUACCUUUAACUCUGGGAUAAGCCUGGGAAACUGGGUCUAAUACCGGAUACGACCAAUCUCCGCAUGGGGUGUUGGUGGAAAGCGUUAUGUAGUGGUUAUAGAUGGGCUCACGGCCUAUCAGCUUGUUGGUGAGGUAACGGCUCACCAAGGCGACGACGGGUAGCCGGCCUGAGAGGGUGACCGGCCACACUGGGACUGAGACACGGCCCAGACUCCUACGGGAGGCAGCAGUGGGGAAUAUUGCACAAUGGGCGCAAGCCUGAUGCAGCGACGCCGCGUGAGGGAUGACGGCCUUCGGGUUGUAAACCUCUGUUAGCAGGGAAGAAGAGAAAUUGACGGUACCUGCAGAGAAAGCGCG